Molecule: ribosomal RNA, 115 nt
Filed under: Pteropus alecto (black flying fox)
Lineage: Eukaryota; Metazoa; Chordata; Mammalia; Chiroptera; Pteropodidae
Source: RNAcentral
GUCUAUGGCCAUGCCACCUGAACAAGCCUGAUGUCUGAUCUUGGAAGCUAAGCAGGGCCAGGCCUGGUUAGUACUUGGAUGGGAGACCACCUAGGAAGACCAGGUGCUAUAGGCA